CGCCUUCUCCAAAUCUGCAGCCCCCAAAUCGAAUCAUGGUGAGCAGCACAGCAGCGAGGGAUGUCGAGCUCGGCUUGAGGAGGAGGACGAAGCGGUUGCUGACUUACUGCAGGAGGGGAUGGCGUCCAUGGAUCUGGAGAAGGGGAGCUGCUCGCCUGGGCGCCAUGGAUGGAGAACAGGAGCUUGUCUUAGGACCUAGCGCCGAGCAGGAAGACCAAGGAAUGGAGCUCGGGCGCUGCUUGAGGAGAAGGGAGCAGGGCCGACGCCAUGGAUGGGAGGAGCAGAGGUGCCGAGUGGAGCAAGGAAGCUGUUGUGCGGUGGCUGGGAGAAGACGUGCGUGAGGUGGGAGAGGAGUUGAGGCUGCGUGCUUGCUUGAGGGAGGAAAAUGGUUGGGCGGCAGUGAGAUAAGGCCAACACAUGAGCGGC
Molecule: long non-coding RNA, 426 nt
Filed under: Zea mays
Lineage: Eukaryota; Viridiplantae; Streptophyta; Magnoliopsida; Poales; Poaceae
Description: long non-coding RNA (ZMAY_LNC004145)
Source: RNAcentral